Molecule: transfer RNA, 73 nt
Organism: Camelus ferus (Wild Bactrian camel)
Lineage: Eukaryota; Metazoa; Chordata; Mammalia; Artiodactyla; Camelidae
Rfam family: tRNA
About the family: Transfer RNA (tRNA) molecules are approximately 80 nucleotides in length. Their secondary structure includes four short double-helical elements and three loops (D, anti-codon, and T loops).
Source: Rfam
GGAGGUGUAGCUUAAGUGAUAGAGUGCAUGCUUAGUAUGUGCAAGGUCCCGGGUUCAAUUCCCAGUACCUCCU